GAGUUUGAUUAUGGCUCAGGACGAACGCUGGCGGCGUGCCUAAUACGUGCAAGUCGAGCGGAGUUGAAUAAGUGCUUGCACUAAUUCAACUUAGCGGCGAACGGGUGAGUAACACGUAAAGAACCUGCCUCAUAGACUGGGACAACUACUGGAAACGGUAGCUAAUACCGGAUAACAUAUUUUUCUGCAUGGAAGAAUAUUGAAAGUCGGUCAUGCUGACACUAUGAGAUGGCUUUGCGGUGCAUUAGCUAGUUGGUAGGGUAAAGGCCUACCAAGGCGACGAUGCAUAGCCGACCUGAGAGGGUGAUCGGCCACACUGGGACUGAGACACGGCCCAGACUCCUACGGGAGGCAGCAGUAGGGAAUCUUCCGCAAUGGACGAAAGUCUGACGGAGCAACGCCGCGUGAGUGAAGAAGGAUUUCGGUUCGUAAAACUCUGUUGUUAGGGAAGAAUGAUUGUAUAGUAACUAUAUACAGUAGAGACG
RNAcentral lists this ribosomal RNA (485 nucleotides) under Gemelliphila palaticanis. RNAcentral describes it as "bacterial SSU rRNA". It matches the Rfam family "Bacterial small subunit ribosomal RNA", at positions 9 to 474 of the family's 1533-position model. The record is from RNAcentral. Lineage: Bacteria; Bacillati; Bacillota; Bacilli; Caryophanales; Gemellaceae.